This 2675-nucleotide long non-coding RNA is filed under the name Homo sapiens (human). Its description in RNAcentral is "HSALNT0180414". Lineage: Eukaryota; Metazoa; Chordata; Mammalia; Primates; Hominidae. The record is from RNAcentral.
UUUAUACACUAUGGAGAAUAUCUGACAAAUCUCACGGUGACUUUAAAAGGGCUUUUGGAGUCCCCUACUCAUACACCUUCUCAUACAUGAGACUACACUGCUUGAAAACCACAAUGGGCUCCAUAAACACUUUUGCAAUAGUGAAGAAGAAGAAAAAAUAAUGCCACACAUGAAUGCUCCUGAGAUGCCUCUGCCUAUUCUGGUGUGAUUGAAUUCUGUCCCCAGCAAAGGGAGGAAUGGGGUGAAUGUUGCUAUGUUUCUCUUUGCCUCCAUGGAAAGAAGUAUUUGGAGUAACCAGCAUCAUGGAGACAACAGCCUUACUCCCCAAGAAACCAGAGUUGGGGGAGAAGAGGGAUCUGCCUUCUCUGUGAAAGGCCCGGAGGCACUGAAAAGGAGCAGUUUCGGAAGAAUGCUGGCCUUGGAAUUAUCUACCCACCUAUCUAUCCAUCUGAUCAUCCAUCCAUCCAUCCAUCCUUUUAUCCAAUCUCCUAUCUGUCCAUCUGUCCAGCUAGCCAACCCUCAUUCACCAAAUAUUUAUUGAGCAUUUGCUAUGCACACUCACUAGGGAUAAAGUGGUAAACAAAAUGGACAUCAGAUCAAUUCAGGCUGGUGUCCUAGCUCAGCCAUUUAACUGUCACCUUGGGAAACUUGCUUGCUGUCUUUGAGCUGCUUUCUUUAUCUGCACAUUAGGGAUUCUAAUCUCUACAGUGAAAAAGGUUACAAUAAAUAUUGUCCAUAUAUGGACAUAACUUAGCACAGUAGCAAGACCACAGUAGGUGCACCACAAACAGUAGUUUUGGCAGUUCUCUAUCUCCCCCAAAGACCCCUGCCUACCACCCUUCUGCUGCAUAGGACAGCAUUUCUGCAUGAUCUUCAUACAAGGCAGCAACAAGGACCUGUGGGACGACGUUUGUCUGGGAGUGGAGAUGAGGCCCAAUGAGAGUCGGUGGCGUGUCUGAGGCUUACCGGUCCUUGAAGAGCAGGAGCUCCUUCCCCAGCAUUGUCACAGCGUCAAAGGAUGAGCUGGAGUCACAGAGGUCAGGGAUGGAUGGCUUGUGAUGGGGGGCAUGGGGCAGAGUGGGCUUCCCCAGGAAUACUUUCCGAGGUCCUAGGAUUCAAAAUGAGUUGGUCAAAAUGGUAACGGGAAUUUGGAGUUCACACACUUCUGCUCUAGAGCCCCAGGGGAGGUUGUACACUUUCACGCUGGACAUGUGAUCAUGAUCAUGGCUGUUGAGGGCAGGUAUGGGUUUGAGUCCCGGCUCUCCUGGUUGCUGAGCUGUGUGAUUUGAGGCACAUUAUUCAACUUUGCAAGCCUCAGCUUCCUCACUUGUUAAAAGGGAGGGAUAAUAAUAGUACUCACCUCAGAAGGCUGUUGUGAGAAUUAAAUAAUUCCUGUAAAGCAGGUAGCAGAGUGCUUGGCACAUAGCAUCCAGGAAAAACUGAGCGAGUUCUUGUGAAACUGAAGUACACUGAAGGUGUUUGCUAUUUAAAGGUAUCUUCUGGUGGAUCGUCUUGGAAAACAUGGACCCAAAUCUUGCGAGAGCUAUCAGUGAGUCUCCUCUCCUGCUCUGCAUCUCUCAGGACUGUGUCCCAGCUCCAGAAGAAUGAGCCUGCACAGCUUGGACUGUCACCUCUGGCAGGUUCCUGCUCUUUGAUGAAGCCUCGUCAUAAUUACAGGUGUUUGAAAGUUCCUCCAUUGAUCUUCUCUCUCCUGCUGCCUUGUCAAGAAGGUGCCUGCUUCCCCUUUGCCUUGCACCAUGAUUCUAAGUUUCCUGAGGCCUCCCCAGCCAUGUAAAACUAGCCUUAUCUUCAACAGCUGCUAAAAUUGAAGAACAAAAAGAAUCUUUGAAACUUCCCUUCAACUGGUCAUCCUCUUCCCUUUUUCUCUCCUUUAAACACUGUUCCAAUUCAUUAUGAUGGCCCCAAAGCAAAGACAGACAUGGAAGUGAACAUUGGAGUGGAAGGAAUGACGGGGAGCAAAGGUCUGCUUUCUUUCUAUCAUUCUUGUAUCAACUCUAAAUUGAAACCCAAAUCACUGAAAUCUAAAAAAUCACAUGAAAGCAAGUCAAUGACUAAAAGAAAAUGAAAUGAGAGAUCCUAUCAGAGAAAUAUGAAAGGGAAAAUACCACUGAUUAAAUAAGUUAUGGGAAAAAUAAAUCAUUACACCAUUAAAUGUAUACGUCGACAUACUGUAUGUUGUUAUGUGCUUAUUGUCUUUCACCAGUAGAAUGUAAGUCCCAUAAGGGUAAGGACUUUAUAUAUUCUUUUCACAGCAGUGUCUCUAGUGCAUGGAACAGUUCCUAGCACAAAAUAAACAGUUGUUGAAUAAGUGAAUGUAUGAAUGAGUGAUUAAUUAAUGAUUAAAGAUAGAAAGAAGAAAAACAAGAUUGUCCUUAGAGGGAUAAAUUUUAAGUCAACCCAUAUAAUGGAUCAAAUGAAGAUGUGUAGCAUCACCCUAAGAAACCAGAACCUUUAUUAAACCCACAUUAUAUGCCAGACAUGUAGCCAAGUACCUUAUGUACAUUUUUCACACAACUUUGUGACACGCUGUUUUUCAAGUGAAGAAAUGGGCUCAUGGAGGAUAAAUGAUUUGUUAACUUCAUAUAGAUAUUAAGGCGACGGCUCCAGGAUUUUCACACAGCUCUGUUAGACAUUGAAGCCUGUGUUCUUAACAG